Molecule: long non-coding RNA, 1250 nt
Organism: Physcomitrium patens
Lineage: Eukaryota; Viridiplantae; Streptophyta; Bryopsida; Funariales; Funariaceae
Source: RefSeq, a predicted model, not a curated record
AAUUAACAGAGAAAUAUGUAGAGCGCAAUGCCCUAAAGAUGUUCACAGGUGGGUGCUUCGUUGAAUUGAAGGAGGGUGUUGAUCAUGCUCUUCCAUUGAUGACAUUAUUCCCCUUUUUCCACUCUAUCUCUGCCUCUGAUGAAGGGACGAUUUCAUUGAUUGCAUUUUGCUACCGGAGUAAUGUGAUCCUACCACAACAGUCAUGAAUGAAGCAUCAAUGUCUCUAUCAUGUGCACAUUGAUAGGCCUGGAUGGUCUCUUCCUUAACUUUGUUGUGGAGGUGAAUCUGAGGUUGCUGCUGGGUCAUGGGCGGCGGGUGCACGAGGCAGAAGAGUCUGCUGCACCUUUUCAAAUGGCAUAGGAGGUCUGAAAGUACUGUGAACAACGCAUUCCAUUAUAUCGCAGAAAUCAUGUUUAUACAGGACCUAGGUCCAUGACCAGAUGGAGGUUUCCUUCAAAUCGAUAAUCAUCUGAGCCUGGUGCAAUUCUUUCAAUGCCUCUGCUUCGCUUUACAUCCAGGAACAAAAUUGACGCUCGCUCUGAAGCUGGACUUGUAUUGUUUUCGCGGGAGCUCUUUAAAAUGUUUGUCGGGAAUCUCGACAUGGCAAGGAUGGGGAAUUGGCUCAAGGUCAAGAAGUCAAUGCCAGUAUCAUAUUUGGUAGUACAUCUCUUAAAGUCUUUACCGCGGCUGCAUUGAAAUGAUUUCUGCCAAGAUCACUUCUACCACUUUGCUUUACACGCAAUUUUUCCUACUUUUCUCAUGAAAACAGUUCAAACUGAGAAUUCUACAACGUUCAGAUACGAACUGUGGCUUCGAUUGUUCUUCACUUGUGGCUUUCUUAGCAUAUCAAGAGGUCAUAGUUGUUCAUUGUAACAGUAAUGUGCAGAUCUCGAGCUGUAAUCCUCCAUGAUAUUAACAACUUCAGUGAUCUUGUGAUAAUUACUGUGGUACGAGACUCUUGAAGUAUAACCAGUCAUAGUUAUGGAAGUAAUUGAAUCGGAAAGUUGUUUCCUGUAUAACAAAUCAAAGCUGUUCAGACAGCGAUCACUUGUAGGUUAAACUAUAUCCCUGUCAACCUACGGGCUCAUCUAAAGCAGGGAUCGACUUAAUUAAAUUAGGGCCUUUCCAGCCAUAAGUUGAAUCAAGUGUAAGAUCAUUUGAUGGUCACACAAGGAACGAUGGUUAUUGAUUCAAAGUCCUGCCAUCACAGAAAUAUUUUGUCAUUUGUUGAAACUGACAUUAGUGUGAGU